Long non-coding RNA from Suricata suricatta (meerkat), 1143 nucleotides. The record is from Ensembl. Lineage: Eukaryota; Metazoa; Chordata; Mammalia; Carnivora; Herpestidae.
AUGAAUAAACCUAGGAAGAAGAGCAGACCUUCCCUACAGGAGACAUCAUGGUGUCCGUGUGCAGAGAGGGGAGUUUCAGGAGUGAGGCCCGGAGAUGUGCCAGGACGAGCCGGGGGCCGAGCACGGGGGCAGCCCCCACCCCUGCACAAACCCCGUGCUCCUAAGGGACCUGGAAGGAAGGGCCACCCAUCCGAGGAGCUUUGCAGAACAAAGGAGGGGGAUGGGGCCAAGGAUGCAAACGGCAGAGUGACGACAGGGUGUGCAUCCCUGCCCUCAUUAACCCACACCGCGCUGCUCUUCACCUUCUGGAGGACAGCAGCAUUGUCCCAGGAGACCUGGCCACUGUCUCCUGUGGGUUUAGAACUUUGGCCUUCGGGAUUCCUAAUUUACCACAACAAGGUGAAAAGGCAAAAUGAGAAAUGAUUUGCCACGGGAACAAGAGACAAAAUAUUGAGGUCCUUAAUAUAUAAAGUUCUCCACGAAAUCAAUAAGAGAUCAACAAACCAUCAUAAUGAAUGUGAGAGCCUGGAUAGUGUGGAUGAUAGAAAAGGCUCACCGGUGGUAUAACUGGUGAAAUUUGCAUCAGUCCUAGGCUUUGGUCUACAAUAUUGCAGGAACGUUGAUUUCUGAGCUCUGUUAAGUGUUUUGUGGUUAUGGAAGACGCUAACCAAGAGGAAGCUGGAUGAAGGGUGUAUAGGAAUUCUCUGUACUGUUUCUGCACCUCUUUUGUAAGUUGCAAAGUAUCUCAAAAAUUUAAAAAUGUCCUAUUAACACUGGACGUAAGCAACCUACAUAAAGCAUGAUAAAUGACAAUGGAUGGAAAACGAUCCACUCUCUAGUAAUCCAAGCAUCGUGGGUGACUUGAGGAGAUGUUCCUGUUAGCCUCUGGUCCAAGGAGACUAACGAGCCACGGCACCCAGACACGAUGAGGGGCCCUGGAGGGGGCACGUCUGGGAGAGCGACGGGGCAUGUGACAGAGCUUGGACGCAGGCCUUGGACUGGAUGAGACGGUGCUGAUGUGGCACCUCCCGAUUCUGCUGUUUACUGCGGUUCUGUAAGUGAAUGUCCUCGUUUUCGGUAAGUACCCAGCGCAAGAUUUAGGGGGCAGGGGACUGGCACCUCCAAGUUAAUCUCAAGCAGCUC